Molecule: long non-coding RNA, 100 nt
Organism: Sinocyclocheilus grahami
Lineage: Eukaryota; Metazoa; Chordata; Actinopteri; Cypriniformes; Cyprinidae
Exons: 3
Source: RefSeq, a predicted model, not a curated record
UAAAUCUGAUCCUAGUGCCAGCCAGCCUGAAGUAAGCCUAACCAACCAACUUUUUCACAGCUUUGAACAGCUUGCAGCAUUAAAACAAAAAAACACUUAC